This 104-nucleotide small nuclear RNA is filed under the name Castor canadensis (American beaver). Lineage: Eukaryota; Metazoa; Chordata; Mammalia; Rodentia; Castoridae. The record is from RNAcentral.
GCGAUUCAGCAGCACAUAUACUAAAAGUUGGAAAGAUACAGGGAAGACUUAGCAUGGCCUGUGCACAAGGAUGACGACAAAUUCAUGAAGCAUUCGUAUUUUUU